CCCUCCGCUCCCUGUGAGGAGCUGCAGCCGCCAUCAGGCCUCCCCUCAGCCUGCUCUGCUCUGGGCUGCAAGCGCAGGUCCCCUUUCUGCACAAAUGUGGGCAUUUAACCUUAUGCACAGGGCAGUAAUAGGAGAGAGCAUCCUUCCAGCUCAUCUGCAUACCAUUAGGAAGGCUCGUCUGCAUACCAUUAGGAAGGUGCUCAAACAGAGCAGGAUGCAUGAAGGCCAGCUGACCCAGAGCUCACCUCCCAGGUUCCCUCUUUGCACAAAUCCACCAACCCUUCCACUCGGUCUGGAAUAGCAAGGACAGAAUGGAGAGAGGCUAUUUCCUCUUUAUGUGUGUAACAAAAGUACAUUUUGGGUGAGUAAAAUGUGAAAUUCUGCUGUCCGAUAGACUCGCCCUGGCCAGAAACCACAAUGAGUCCCCUCCAUACGUAGUGGCACACACAGACUGUGCACACAGGUUUCAGCUUGCUGCAAGCACCUUGCUGGAGCCUGUGACAGUGAAGCCACACUGUACCUGGCCAAGAUUUCUUUCUAGGACUGAUCCACAUUCUGGAACGUGGAGUCUCCCAGGCAGCUGGAUAUAGGUGGUCGGGUAGAUUUUGGUUACCCAAGCAACUCACGUGUUAUGAUUCCUAAACAACCAAGAUGUUGGAAGGCUGGGGGCACUCAAGGGAAAUGGCUAUGGAAAAUACAAACAGUUUUCCAGCCACGCAGACACACUGUGGUAAGAUAUAUUUAUUGAACUACUUCCAACUCCUCAUUGUUCUCUGGCUGGCCAACAGAUUAUCAACUACCAGACCAGAUAUUCUGUUCUAUUUUCUUUAUUAAAUUCUCAUACUAGCAAAGGAAGACCUUGCCCUGAAAUAGGGCAAGCGAGCUGCCAGCCAGCCAUGCCCCGCAGUGCAUAACGCAGUGAGUGGUGUAGUACUCCUCAGAUGUGCUGCCUGCAAUCAGCCAUUCCCAGGUUCCAGGGGUUUCCUUUGGCUGAAGGAGCUGUGAAACGUCUGGGAUUAAAAAAUGGGACGAUGAUGAUGAUUGCUGAAAGCCAAGGGCAUCAGAUGCUGAUGCUGAUGGCACACCAGCCAGCGCUGUUUCAGGGACAUCGUUUUUCUUCAGAGGGCAAUGAGGCACUGGCACAGCUGCCCAGAGAGCUGUGGAUGCCCCGUCCAUCCCUGGAGGUGUUCAAGGCCAGGUUGGAUGGGCCCUGGGUAGCCUGAG
This is a long non-coding RNA of Gallus gallus (chicken), 1224 nucleotides long. RefSeq lists it as uncharacterized. The transcript has 3 exons. NCBI's taxonomy places the organism in Eukaryota, Metazoa, Chordata, Aves, Galliformes, Phasianidae. The record is from RefSeq and is a predicted model, not a curated record.